UACGGAGGGUGCAAGCGUUGUCCGGAAUCACUGGGCGUAAAGGGCGCGUAGGCGGCUUUGUAAGUUAGAGGUGAAAGCCCGGGGCUCAACUCCGGAAUUGCCUUUAAGACUGCAUCGCUAGAAUUGUGGAGAGGUAAGUGGAAUUCCGAGUGUAGAGGUGAAAUUCGUAGAUAUUCGGAAGAACACCAGUGGCGAAGGCGACUUACUGGACACAUAUUGACGCUGAGGUGCGAAAGCGUGGGGAGCAAACAGG
This 253-nucleotide ribosomal RNA is filed under the name uncultured bacterium. Its description in RNAcentral is "partial 16S ribosomal RNA". It matches the Rfam family "Bacterial small subunit ribosomal RNA", at positions 524 to 776 of the family's 1533-position model. The record is from RNAcentral.